This 373-nucleotide ribosomal RNA is filed under the name uncultured organism. Its description in RNAcentral is "partial 16S ribosomal RNA". It matches the Rfam family "Bacterial small subunit ribosomal RNA", at positions 527 to 896 of the family's 1533-position model. The record is from RNAcentral.
GUAGGUGGCAAGCGUUGUCCGGAAUUAUUGGGCGUAAAGCGCGCGCAGGCGGUCCUUUAAGUCUGAUGUGAAAGCCCACGGCUCAACCGUGGAGGGUCAUUGGAAACUGGGGGACUUGAGUGCAGAAGAGAAGAGUGGAAUUCCACGUGUAGCGGUGAAAUGCGUAGAGAUGUGGAGGAACACCAGUGGCGAAGGCGACUCCUUGGUCUGUAACUGACGCUGAGGCGCGAAAGCGUGGGGGAGCAAACAGGAUUAGAUACCCUGGUAGUCCACGCCGUAAACGAUGAGUGCUAAGUGUUAGAGGGUUUCCGCCCCCUUUAGUGCUGCAGCAAACGCAUUAAGCACUCCGCCUGGGAGUACGGCCGCAAGGCUG